GAACGCUGGCGGCGGCCUAACACAUGCAAGUCGAGCGGUAACAGAACUAGCUUGCUAGUUGCUGACGAGCGGCGGACGGGUGCGUAACACGUAGGAAUCUGCCCGGUAGUGGGGGAUAGCCCGGAGAAAUCCGGAUUAAUACCGCAUACGCACUAGCUUUCUUAGGAGAGCGGUGGAAAGCAGGGGAUCUUCGGACCUUGCGCUAUUGGAUGAGCCUGCGUCGGAUUAGCUUGUUGGUGGGGUAAUGGCCUACCAAGGCGACGAUCCGUAGCUGAUCUGAGAGGAUGAUCAGCCACACUGGGACUGAGACACGGCCCAGACUCCUACGGGAGGCAGCAGUGGGGAAUAUUGCACAAUGGGCGAAAGCCUGAUGCAGCCAUGCCGCGUGUGUGAAGAAGGCUCUAGGGUUGUAAAGCACUUUCAGCGAGGAGGAAAGGUUGUACGUUAAUACCGUGCAGCUGUGACGUUACUCGCAGAAGAAGCACCGGCUAACUCCGUGCCAGCAGCCGCGGUAAUACGGAGGGUGCGAGCGUUAAUCGGAAUUACUGGGCGUAAAGCGUGCGUANGCGGCUGAUUAAGUUGGGUGUGAAAGCCCCGGGCUC
Molecule: ribosomal RNA, 602 nt
Filed under: uncultured bacterium
Lineage: Bacteria
Description: bacterial SSU rRNA
Rfam family: Bacterial small subunit ribosomal RNA
Source: RNAcentral